GAUGAACGCCGGCGGUGUGCCUAAUACAUGCAAGUCGAACGGAGCUUGCCUGUCAGAUCCUUUCGGGGUGACGACUUGUAAGCUUAGUGGCGAACGGGUGAGUAACACGUGAGUAACCUGCCCCAGAGUGGGGGACAACAGUUGGAAACGACUGCUAAUACCGCAUAAGCCCACAGAACCGCAUGGUUCUGGGGGAAAAGGAGCAAUUCGCUCUGGGAUGGACUCGCGUCCGAUUAGCUGGAUGGUGAGGUAACGGCCCACCAUGGCGACGAUCGGUAGCUGGACUGAGAGGUUGAUCGGCCACAUUGGGACUGAGACACGGCCCAG
Molecule: ribosomal RNA, 327 nt
Filed under: uncultured bacterium
Lineage: Bacteria
Description: bacterial SSU rRNA
Rfam family: Bacterial small subunit ribosomal RNA
Source: RNAcentral